This 550-nucleotide ribosomal RNA is filed under the name uncultured Verrucomicrobiota bacterium. RNAcentral describes it as "bacterial SSU rRNA". It matches the Rfam family "Bacterial small subunit ribosomal RNA", at positions 479 to 1025 of the family's 1533-position model. Lineage: Bacteria; Pseudomonadati; Verrucomicrobiota. The record is from RNAcentral.
CCGAAGAGGAAGGGACGGCUAACUCUGUGCCAGCAGCCGCGGUAAUACAGAGGUCCCAAGCGUUGUUCGGAUUCAUUGGGCGUAAAGGGUGCGUAGGCGGCGCGGUAAGUCGGGUGUGAAAUCUCGGAGCUUAACUCCGAAACUGCAUUCGAUACUGCCGUGCUUGAGGACUGGAGAGGAGACUGGAAUUUACGGUGUAGCGGUGAAAUGCGUAGAUAUCGUAAGGAAGACCAGUGGCGAAGGCGGGUCUCUGGACAGUUCCUGACGCUGAGGCACGAAGGCCAGGGGAGCAAACGGGAUUAGAUACCCCGGUAGUCCUGGCAGUAAACGGUGCACGUUUGGUGUGGGAGGAUUCGACCCCUUCUGCGCCGGAGCUAACGCGUUAAACGUGCCGCCUGGGGAGUACGGUCGCAAGAUUAAAACUCAAAGAAAUUGACGGGGGCCCGCACAAGCGGUGGAGUAUGUGGCUCAAUUCGAUGCAACGCGAAGAACCUUACCAGGCCUUGACAUGCAUCUCUAAGUUGGUGAAAGCCAGCGAGUCCCGAAGGGG